GAUGAACGCUAGCGGCAGGCCUAACACAUGCAAGUCGAGGGGUAACAGAGGGUGCUUGCACCUUGCUGACGACCGGCGCACGGGUGCGGAACGCGUAUCGAACCUGCCCCCUUCAGGGGAAUAGCCCAGAGAAAUUUGGAUUAAUGCCCCAUGGUACCAUAAGGUUGCAUGACCAUAUGGUUAAAGAUUUAUCGGAAGGGGAUGGCGAUGCGUAUCAUUAGCUAGUUGGUAAGGUAACGGCUUACCAAGGCAACGAUGAUUAGGGGCCCUGAGAGGGGGAUCCCCCACACUGGUACUGAGACACGGACCAGACUCCUACGGGAGGCAGCAGUGAGGAAUAUUGGACAAUGGCCGGAAGGUUGAUCCAGCCAUGCCGCGUGCAGGAUGACUGCCCUAUGGGUUGUAAACUGCUUUUAUACGGGAAGAAACCUCCCCACGUGUGGGGAGCUGACGGUACCGUAAGAAUAAGGACCGGCUAACUCCGUGCCAGCCGCCGCCGUAAUAC
Molecule: ribosomal RNA, 505 nt
Filed under: uncultured bacterium
Lineage: Bacteria
Description: bacterial SSU rRNA
Rfam family: Bacterial small subunit ribosomal RNA
Source: RNAcentral